ACUUAAAUAGCUUAAAUAUUAGAGCAUGACGUUGAAGGUGUUAAGGUGGUAAAAACUAUCUUUAAGUA
Molecule: transfer RNA, 68 nt
Filed under: Amphioctopus neglectus
Lineage: Eukaryota; Metazoa; Mollusca; Cephalopoda; Octopoda; Octopodidae
Description: tRNA-Phe
Source: RNAcentral